Molecule: long non-coding RNA, 3479 nt
Organism: Papaver somniferum (opium poppy)
Lineage: Eukaryota; Viridiplantae; Streptophyta; Magnoliopsida; Ranunculales; Papaveraceae
Exons: 6
Source: RefSeq, a predicted model, not a curated record
AGAGUCAAGGCAACUAUGCCUUGUUUCUCGAGCACCCUUAUCUUCUGUCCAUUUUCUCAUUCCUCUGCUCUGCGCUCUUCUCAUUUUAUCGCCUGAUGAACCAUCAAAGAACAAACCCUAGACAUCUACUGAAACCAUUAAAGAAGAAAAAUGGUUCUCUAUCAGUGCUUCUCUAUAAACCCUUUCAUCUACAAUCCAGUAAACCAAAUCAAUCUCUUCUCCUAACAGAUCCAUUCUAGGUCGUCUUCUUCUUUUAAGGGUUUUGUAGUGAACAACUUAUCUUCAAUCGGUCGGGUGGUGAUGUCAAUUAUGUUGAUAUUAUUCGAGGUGAUCCCGGUGGUUAUGGCGUAAUAGUUAGAAUGAUUAAAGGUUAAAUCCAACUUUGGUUAUGAGGUCAAUUAUCCUAAUAGCGAUCCCUGAAGAAUAGAUGAUGAUCAACAUCUGUAUGUAUGAUGAUAUCUGAUUCAAAAAUGAGAAGAAUGCUAGCCCAGAUUGACCUAAGAUUCAACCCUGUGAAGCUUGUCUAUUGAGAAUAUCUUCUAUUGAAAAGCUUAUAAUUUUUCCUUCUGAUCAGUUUCUCAAGUUGUACUGGGAAUUUCAUGGGGCACCUUAUCUAUGGGGAGUAUUUAGAAAGACAAUUGUUCAUGUUUAAUGCCUCCUCCAUGUUCAUGUAAGCCCCCGUGGUGACUCUAAUGUUGGUAUUUGUAGGUGCUUUCCUGGGAAGUGAAGAAUGUUUACCAAGUGUUAAGAUCUCAAGUGUUUGAUAUUCUUUUCUAUUGCUCUCGUUGUUUUUGAAGUUUUCGUUUGUGUGAACUUUCUUAUACGUUUUCCUUUUGAUCUGUUAUAGGUAACAGUUUCUGAGCUGAAAUAGUGAAGAACUGAAGUAGUGAUGAUUAAUCAACUUGCAGUUAUAGAAUCUUCUGUUGUGAUGGGUAAUUAAGGGAGGAUAAGGCUCCUCGCAUAUAUACUUUAUGGCAUGCUUGUUGUGUUUGUAGAAAAUUUCCAUUAACAUUGGUCACUGUAUACAAAAAUUGCAGCUAUUACAUUCGCUUGCUAUUUGAGGCGAUUGUAUUUGACCCUUACAUUUGCGGUCACCUUGUUAACGUUACGUUCAAUCUGACCGCGAAUUUGAAAUAAGUGAACUAAGUAGCCUUGAUUAUUCAGUUUAAUUGUGUUUUGCAAGUUUUCUUUCAUUGUACAAGAACCAAUGGCUACAUGAUACAUUGUGCCCACCUUUUGUGCUGUUCAGGGGAUGCUUUUCACCUUUAUAUCAGUUCCUAAUGUUUAGCGAUUGAAAGAAUUAUUCAUUUAUUUGUACUUUCCAUGUAAUUUCUUAUAAAUUCACAACACUUUUGAGUUGAAUUGCCGAUCUGGGUGUUAUAUGGCUUAUUAUUUGGUAUUUAAUUGGGGGUUUUUGAUCCCACGAAUUUGAAUACCACAUUCCAGAAAGUGAUGAAAGAGCACUACAUGGAGAACUACAAUACUUACUCUGUUCUAAUACUUAUUCAAAAUAGCUAGUUGAAUUGCCACUGGAAUCCUUAAUAGAACUACAAUAUGGAGUUUGAAAACCUGUGUUUUCGUGUAUGUGUAGGUUCAGGUUGGGAUAAUAUUUCUGAUUAGUUUACAUCCCCAUCUUUGUAAGCUCUAUGACCUUACGAAGAUCUCUUUAUAUAUGCUACUCUAUAUGCAUUUAUGUCUUGUUAUAUAUACAUUUUGUAUACUUAUACACAUUGUGAAGUCCUAAUAGCUUCUGUCAUUGUGAAGUAUUGUAUGCAACCUUACUAAUUGAUAUACAAGUGGCUAGUAUAGGCAAUAUGUUAUUGCCAUCUCUUGACAUGAUUCUUACUCUGUUCUUUCCCCUUUUGUCUCUGUCUUAGUGUCUUGUGCUAUUGUUUUUAUUUAAUAUCUUACUGAUAUUGGUUUUCUGAUGGUUCUGAUCCUUAGGCUAUGAAGUCUUAUUUCUGUCUACAAAUUUCUGAUGGUUCAAUCCAUCAAUUAGAAUAAGAGGUUGCUAUGUUCAUCCCAAUUGCAGAGAAGUGCUACAAAAUAGCAAGGGUCAACUAAGAACUACGCUAUUUCACUUCAUGAGGAAAUACAACUAUAUUAAUUAUUAAGCUUAAUAAUCGAUUAUUGUCGUUUCUAUCAAAUACCUGGUCGUUCUAAUAAGGUACUUGAUCUUAGAUCGCUGACGUUGUCGAGACUGAAACUACAAAUUCAUCAAGUAUCUGAUCAGCUAGUUGACAACAACGCUCAGGAAGCUUUACCUGCUAUAGCGGGUUAUAGUCUGGUAAGAAUUUUAACACUUCUACAGUCUGGUAAGCAUUUUAACACUUCUAUGGAAGAUGUGUUGCUUCCCUAAGAUCCAUAGUUCUGUUGGUUUUGCAUCUAAUAAUUUAACCGUUGCUCCUUAAUUCUGUAAUGCCUUUGCAAAUCAAGUAGGGAAGUAGCCUUCUUCUUAUAGGUGGACAGUCAAAAGAGUUAUCGGAUGUCAUAAUUGGCAGCAGUGUCUCACUAUACCUACCUCACUUGCAUAUUAUCAGACUAGUGCAUUGCCGAAAGUAAGAUUCUUACUUCCAUUUCCUCAAUUUUGCUAGAGGUUCUUUCCCGUUCCCUUUCCUGAACAUCCAUGUUUUCCCUACAUAUUUGCUAAUUUGAGUUUAUGACCAACUCUGCAUCCAUCUAUUACCAUUUCUAAUUGCGCCGCUCAUCAUUGCAUUAACGUUAAAUCAAACGCACUCCAGGUUCGUCUGGUGUAAGCUACCAUAUUUCUUAUGUUCUCCUCUUACGAAGUUUUAGAAAGUUUGGGCUAAGAAGUUGGUGCUGCAAAAGCAGGAACCCUGGUGUUUAAAUGCAAUUGUUUGCCUGAAGUUGACCUUACUGGUUGCGAAGCUCUGAUGAAUUCUAUUUGUGAAGUUUUUAGUGAUGAGGGUGGUUGCCCGGUGCUCAAGUCACUGGCCCUCUAGACCUCUACAACUGCGAGGUUUGUGAACUAGGUUGGUAUUCGGUCUCAUAACUUACGUAUAUGCCCUAAAUUCGAGGAACCUGACACUGUGAUGCUAGAAUUGAAGGGAUGUGGUGUUCUAUUCGAAGCAUCAAUCGUUGUCCUCGUCUGAUAGCGUUAGAUUCUUCUUUUUGUGGCAAAACCUAAAAGAUGACUACUGCCACAAGUGCUACAUGGCCUUUAUGAUUUUGAUGUCCUGCCGAACUUUCUCGUUGAUGGCCUGUCUUUAGUGAAUGAAGGCAUAAAUGGUGAAGUCUUGUUGACCCCUUCUGCAGUGUCUUCAGUAAACGAAGGCAUAGAUGCUGAAGUUUUGCCUUCAACUUUUUGUUGAAGUUUUUCGGUAGCUAAGCUUGUAAUAAAAACAUAAACUUAAGACAGGAACUUGUAUUUUAGAUAGUCGAUGAUGUAAACUGUUAGCACUUUUUAGUACAAAUUCAGUUUUAAAGUUGCCAUCAAUUUAAGUUUUUGAUUAAUACAA